AUAUAACCAUCAGGGAGACGUGCUGACUCACAGUCAGCCUCUGGGGCAGCACUUCCGUUUUCUUUAGUUCUUGAAGAAACAAGUAUGGUGCUACCCAGGAAAGCGGACAAGCUAACCAUGCCACAGACCCCCGGACUCUACUUCCUUCCUUAGAGUCAGGAACUAAGAGGAAAAUAUUCAGCUUGGUUUUCUGGAGUGAGAAAUACAGGGUUGAGACUGCAUCAAGACAAACACAGUCAUGUAAAUAAUGUAGGUGAAAAACUGAAGAAGAGAUGAAGAGCCAUCACAGCUUCCCAAUCGAUUUAUUUGCUUCCAACUUUUCCAACAUUGCUGCUCAGUGAGCUUUCAAAAAUGCCAGUCUAAGUAAUUCACUUUUCUGCUUAAAACCCUUCAGUGCAUCCGAGGGGACUUGAGAUAAAGACCAAAGCCCUCACCUGCCCUGGAGGCCUUGAGUGACAUGGCUCUCCUCCUCUCACCUGCCUGUGGAAGCCACUCUCUCUCCGGAGGGCUCCAGACUUCACCUGUAGUUGCUCUCUUAAUUCAUCAAAACAGAUGGGCUUCUUCCUGCCUCAGGGCCAUUGCUCCUGCUGUCCUCCUGCCUGAAUCAUCGCAGCAGACUGCCAGCCCUUCUGCUGUCUUUGGCUGCACACUUCUUUUGUUUGGCCAGCCAAGAGAUGACUGAAGUUUGAACUUGAAUGCCUUAAGGCCAGCAGACUUCCUCCAGUGGGCCUUCAGUUCUAAUAUUUCUUGUUGUCUUACCCCUGCCAGAUGCACACAUUUGUGUUACUUGCCUGAUCUCUUAAAGGAAUUUGAGUUUGCAAUCUCUGGACUAAUUAAUUUCUACUAAUCAACCAGUAAGGCACAAAUGCCACCUCCUCACAAAAGCUUUCACAGCCCCACAAAAAAUCCUGUACUUUCCCUUCAUAGCACUCAUCACAACAGCAAUUAAAUAACUAAUUGUGUUAUUACAUGUCUAAAGUCUAUAUUCCCGGCCAGCAUGGACAUUCCAAAAGGGCAGGGACUCUUGUCUUUUUCGCCACUACAUUCUUAGUGUUUUCAUAUAGAAGGCACUCAAUGAUUGAAUGGAUGAAUGAUAAAGCUAAAGUAUUCUAAAGCUUAGUGACAUAAAUAAUUCUCUAAAAGCUUUAAAUGAGAAUUAUAGGCAAACAUUUUUCUGAGAUUAUUUGAGCCUAGUCCUUCCAGGAGACACUGAGAUCCCGGAACCCUCAGGAUGAUGUGUCAUGGGAAGCUCAUGACAGUGAUGUCAUACUACUGUACUAGGUCUAAAGGGCAGAAGGAAUGGGGAAGCCAAGAGGGCUCCAGGCUCCAUGCAACUAAUGAAACCAUAGCAACUCUACUUGCUAGACUUUUAUCAUUAUUCACUUUCUUUCUUUCUUCCCUUUUUUUUUUUUUUUUUUUGAGAUGGAGUUUCACUCUAGUUGCCCACGCUGUAGUGCAAUGGUGCAAUCUUGGCUCACCGCAACCUCUGUCUCCCGAGUUCAAGCGAUUCUCCUCCCUCAGCCUCCUGAGUAGCUGGGAUUACAGGCAUGUGCCACCACGCCAAGCUAAUUUUGUAAUUUUAGUAGAGAUGGGGUUUCUCCAUGUUGGUCAGGCAGGUUUCGAACUCCUGACCUCAGGCGAUCUGCCCACCUCAGCCUCCCAAAGUGCUGGGAUUACAGGUGUGAGCCACCGCGCCCAGCCUAUCAUUAUCCACUUUCUAUCUUUUAUGUAAAUAUAGUGAAUUUCUGCAUAGGAUUUGUCUGAACAAAGCUUAUACCAAGGCUUUGACAGUGUCUAUCUUAUUGGUUAUGGUAUCAAUGGCUCCUAGAAUGGUGCCUGGCACUGAGUGUUGCUGUCUAUGAAUGGUAACCUACUUGUGGUAAAGAUAUUUACAAAGCUAGGAUCAGAUUUCUGUUGUGUUUCAGGAUCAGGAAGUAGUGAAGCUGUCCUAUUGCAGGUAACGUUGGUAGCAUUACCUAUCACAUAUGAUGAGGGUUUCUUCCAUCCAUUCAGUCCAAUUGCAAAACCAAAUCAAACAACUUCUUUUCCUUUCCAAAUGAUAUUCAAUUCAAGUCCUUCAAAUGCAUUUCAAAAGCUUCUCUUGUCCAUGCUCCUUCUCUAUGCUAUGUUGUCUUCUCUGCCUGUAGUCACAUCCAAAAGGCAAUGAACUAAUUAUCUUCAUAAGUAUUUUUCUUUAUUUCCAAAUGUGAUCAGAAUGUGCCCAAAGAAUUCUUCAUUGCAAUGUUUUUGAGGAAGUUUGACAUUAUUAUUAUUAUUAUUAUUAUUAUUAUUAUUAGGCUUCAUUAUAUCUGAAGCAAAUUAAAGUGGACAAUUUUCUAUGAUGAUGGAAAGUCUCACUAUGUUGCCCAGGAUGGUCUCAAACUCCUGGCUUCAAGCAGUCCUCCUCCCUUGGCCCUGCAAAAUGCUGGUAUUACAGGCAUAAGCCACUAUGCCAGGCCAAGGUUUUUUUUUUAAUGUGAUAAUUAGCAGUAAAAGUGGGAUAAAAGACAUUAUAUGGACUAGUACAUGCCGUGUUCAUGGUGCCAAAUAGCUUGUAUUUCCACCCUUCCACCCUUGCCUCUUUGCUGCCUUCUGGACCAAAGUUGUCUGUCUUGGAGGCAGACUUGUGUAAUUACUUUAAUAAUCUCACUUGCCCUCUGGUUUCUGGUUGGCUUUGUCCAAUGGGGAGCCCCUGCAGGAGGUCAGAAGGAAGAUCACAGUGAGGUCUAGUCCCACAUUCCCCUGCUUCCUGCCUACUGAGUUGGCUUGGGCUGGCUGCAUGAUCAUGAGCAAAGACCAUAACUCCUUUCAAGGUGACCCUUUUCACACUCUCUCCUCUUGCUCCUUUAGACCUCAGGGUGGUAACAUCUGCUGUGACUAGCCCCAGCGUGUCACUGUUUGUGGUUUUCCCACAUCUGCCUAUACCCUAUCAACAGUCCCUUUACUCAGCCCUCCUGGAGUAUGCCACUUGCUUCCUGUUGGGACCCUGAUUGAUACACCUACUAGGGAUCCCACUUACGAUUGCUCUCAUUUUGCUCAGGAGUGGAAGUUAUGGUGAUAGACAUUGUAUCCACAGGUGUAACUACUUGAAAGAGAAGCAUUUUUUGGAAUCAUACCCUACCAUCUGCUUUUGUUUUAUUAGAUCUAAAAAUCUAAAUUAACCAUAUUUUCAUUAUGUCCUAAAAUGCCUUAUUAUUGUAUUUUUCUCAACACUUCUAUAAUAUGCCAUGCAUAUUCUUUUUUUGAAAAUUAUAUAAUUUAUUGGUUAUUACUAAUUUUAUGUACCUACACUACUUUCUGUUCCUUCAUAAGUAAAUGUCUUAUUUUUUAUUUGCUUAAUUUUCUAUUCUAUAUACUAAUUCUUAUUUUUAAUUUGUUGCCCAACUUGCCUUGAACUCCUGGACUCAAGGGAUCCUCCCACCUCAGCCUGCCAAGUAACAGGGACUACAGGUGCAUACCACUGUACCUGGCUAUGUGUUAUACUAAUUAUUAAUCCAACCACGAACUGUCUGUCAUUGUUAACAUCUCUCAAGUCAUUCAGACACAUCAGAAACUCUACCAAUUUUAUUUUAAUAAAUUUAUUAAGGGCUUACUGUGUACCUGGCAUUAUGCUUGGCAUUAGGAAUAAAGCACUGAACAAGACUCUUCCA
Symphalangus syndactylus (siamang) is the source of this 3650-nucleotide long non-coding RNA. RefSeq lists it as uncharacterized. Lineage: Eukaryota; Metazoa; Chordata; Mammalia; Primates; Hylobatidae. The record is from RefSeq and is a predicted model, not a curated record.